Molecule: long non-coding RNA, 1007 nt
Organism: Hyla sarda
Lineage: Eukaryota; Metazoa; Chordata; Amphibia; Anura; Hylidae
Exons: 4
Source: RefSeq, a predicted model, not a curated record
GUGUAGUGUUAGCGUAGUUAUACACAGGUGUAGCAUAGUUAGCAUAGUGGAGGACAUCCAAUUGGAUGAAGAUAUGUUAUCGUUACAAGCGACGUUGAAGCCUUAUAUACCUCCAUCCGUCACCAUGACGGAUUACGUGCGGGUGGUGAAUUCCUCUGGAUGUCGGGAACUGAAAGAAAUGUUGGUGAGUUCAUCUUGGAACUCCUCAAUUUUGCCUUGUCCCACAAUUUCUUUCUUUUUAAAGAUGCAUUUUAUUUACAAACGCAAGGAACCGCGAUGGGCGCGGCUUGUGCACCCUCGUACGCAAACUUAUUCUUAGGGGCUUGGGAGCGAUCCAUCUUUACUACUGACCCCAUUCCCCAUAUAGAGAAAGUACAAAUUUGGGCCAGGUUUAUUGAUGACAUUGUUUUUGUUUGGAAGGGUCCUCUUCCGGAACUACAGUCCUUCAUGGAGUUGCUGAAUAUGAAUUAUUUUAACAUCAAGUUGACAUACAAGGUGGGCAGACAUCACAUGGACUUUUUGGACGUCUCCUUCGAUGUUGACAAUAUGGGAUAUUGCAUUUGAACAUCGGGCUGCUGAACUUUGGACCAGGUUCUCCGAAAGGGGCUAUAAAGAAAAUUGGAUCAAGGGGGCCUAUUUGCGAGCAAAGCAUACCAGUAGGAGGAGUCUCCUUCAGACAAGACAGAAGGAUAAGAGUGAUAAUCAGGGAUGACGACCCGUGAACUGAAAAAAACGUGUCAGAGAACAUGUCUUAGGAGUGACAGCAAGACAAGAAGUGGAUCUUUCACGCCUGACCACAAUACCACGCCAUUUCAAAAUUCAUCAUGAUUGUGACCCCAGCCAACUCCAGAUUCUUCGUGGUUCCCUCCGUCUCCAUCUAUAUUGACCUCCUCCUACCUGCCAUGCAUCCAUAUGUCCAUUCCUCCUCGUGCUAUAGCUGUUAUCAAUUAAUUGUUUUGCGCAUUAUUGGGCAUCAUGACCGCUAUUUUACGGUCGCACAUAUUAUA